RNAcentral lists this non-coding RNA (97 nucleotides) under Triticum aestivum (bread wheat). RNAcentral describes it as "Bacterial small subunit ribosomal RNA". It matches the Rfam family "Bacterial small subunit ribosomal RNA", at positions 1229 to 1325 of the family's 1533-position model. Lineage: Eukaryota; Viridiplantae; Streptophyta; Magnoliopsida; Poales; Poaceae. RNAcentral also lists the same sequence under 1 other name. The record is from Rfam by way of RNAcentral.
AAUGGACAUGACAAAGGGUCAUGAUCUCACGAGGGCGAGCUAACUCCAAAACCCCGUCCUCGGUAUGGAUUGCAGGCUGCAACUCGCCUGCAUGAAG